AAAUAAAAAAUAAGUUGUCUAGCCAACCCUUAUUCUACAUUACUUCGUUAUUUUGAGCUAGGGUUUUGUUAUCACUUCAUUCUUUCAAUGCUUUCAAUAAAAAAAUCAGAAACACGGACACAACCGCCGCUCAUUCUCUUCAUCAACCCUAAACCCUCGAGCACACACCACCACGCCACUACCUCUCAGUGCUCUCGAUCUUAAUAGAAACACGCAGUCGUUCUCUUCAUCAACACUAAUCCAUCAAACUCGAGUUGUAGUCUCCAUCACGCACCACCACGCCACAAACGAUCAUAUGGAACAUGGAGAAGGUAGUUUGUAGGGAGAUGGUAGCUUGCAUGGAGUUGGAGAUGGGAGCUUCCAUGAAAUGGAGUGGAGGCCAAUACCAUGCUUUGGUGAUAAGGUUAUCUUUGAACUACAAAUAUUGAACAAAAAUCAAACAAGGGGUUCAUUGUAAAAUAUUUGAAACUUUAAAUUUGGAUAAUUGUAAAUAACUUACCAUGAAUACUUGAAUGCUUUAUUUACAAUUUGGCAAAAGUUGAUUUGGAUGAUUGUGAGAUAUACUAUUAGGCUGUGUGUAUGAAAUUUAUAGGCCAUUUGUAUUAUUUGAAGGCCAAAUUUAUUUA
Long non-coding RNA from Lathyrus oleraceus (garden pea), 626 nucleotides. RefSeq lists it as uncharacterized. NCBI's taxonomy places the organism in Eukaryota, Viridiplantae, Streptophyta, Magnoliopsida, Fabales, Fabaceae. The transcript is spliced from 3 exons. The record is from RefSeq and is a predicted model, not a curated record.